RNAcentral lists this unclassified non-coding RNA (355 nucleotides) under soil metagenome. RNAcentral describes it as "partial contains 5.8S ribosomal RNA, internal transcribed spacer 2, and large subunit ribosomal RNA". The stretch from base 1 to 120 matches the Rfam family "5.8S ribosomal RNA", at positions 35 to 154 of the family's 154-position model. The record is from RNAcentral.
GAUGAAGAACGCAGCGAAAUGCGAUAAGUAGUGUGAAUUGCAGAAUUCAGUGAAUCAUCGAAUCUUUGAACGCACAUUGCGCCUUCUAGUAUUCUGGGAGGCAUGCCUGUUUGAGCGUCAUUAAACCUCUCUCAAGUAUGAUUACUUGGAUGUGAAGGAAGAGUACCUUAAACUUAAGGAGUGUUCUCCUUUGAAAUUGAUUAGCAGAUGGUAAUGUUAUUAAAUCCCUGAUGUUGUAAGAAAUAACAGUGGUUUUGUAGACUAUUAUCUAGCUUUAAAUUAUAAUUUUUAUUAUGGUUGACCUCAAAUCAGGUAAGGAUACCAGCUGAACUUAAGCAUAUCAAUAAGCGGAGGA